This 429-nucleotide ribosomal RNA is filed under the name Acidobacteriota bacterium. Its description in RNAcentral is "Acidobacteria bacterium partial 16S ribosomal RNA". It matches the Rfam family "Bacterial small subunit ribosomal RNA", at positions 355 to 776 of the family's 1533-position model. Lineage: Bacteria; Pseudomonadati; Acidobacteriota. The record is from RNAcentral.
UGGGGAAUUUUGGACAAGGGGGGAAACCCUGAUCCAGCCAUCCCGCGUGUGCGAUGAAGGCCUUCGGGUUGUAAAGCACUUUUGGCAGGAAAGAAACGUCAUGGGUUAAUACCCCGUGAAACUGACGGUACCUGCAGAAUAAGCACCGGCUAAUUACGUGCCAGCAGCCGCGGUAAUACGUAGGGUGCAAGCGUUAAUCGGAAUUACUGGGCGUAAAGCGUGCGCAGGCGGUUCGGAAAGAAAGAUGUGAAAUCCCAGAGCUCAACUUUGGAACUGCAUUUUUAACUACCGGGCUAGAGUGUGUCAGAGGGAGGUGGAAUUCCGCGUGUAGCAGUGAAAUGCGUAGAUAUGCGGAGGAACACCGAUGGCGAAGGCAGCCUCCUGGGAUAACACUGACGCUCAUGCACGAAAGCGUGGGGAGCAAACAGG